Molecule: ribosomal RNA, 301 nt
Filed under: uncultured bacterium
Lineage: Bacteria
Description: partial 16S ribosomal RNA
Rfam family: Bacterial small subunit ribosomal RNA
Source: RNAcentral
CAGUAGCCGCGGUAAUACGAAGGGUGCAAGCGUUACUCGGAAUUACUGGGCGUAAAGCGUGCGUAGGUGGUGGGUUAAGUCCGUUGUGAAAGCCCUGGGCUCAACCUGGGAAUUGCAGUGGAUACUGGAUCACUAGAGUGUGGUAGAGGAUAGUGGAAUUUCCGGUGUAGCAGUGAAAUGCGUAGAGAUCGGAAGGAACAUCUGUGGCGAAGGCGACUAUCUGGGCCAACACUGACACUGAGGCACGAAAGCGUGGGGAGCAAACAGGAUUAGAUACCCCCGUAGUCCCUGUCUCUUAUAA